AGGGAGUUUGAUCCUGGCUCAGAACGAACGCUGGCGGCAUGGAUUAGGCAUGCAAGUCGAACGGGAGCAGCAAUGCUCCAGUGGCGCAAGGGUGAGGAACACGUGAACAACCUGCCUUCGAGUUGGGGAUAGCUUCUGGAAACGGGAGAUAAUACCGAAUAACAUCACCGGAUCGCAUGAUCUGGUGAUCAAAGCAGCAAUGCGCUUGAAGAGGGGUUCGCGUCCCAUUAGCUAGUUGGUGAGGUAACGGCCCACCAAGGCGAUGAUGGGUAGCUGGUCUGAGAGGACGAUCAGCCACAUUGGGACUGAGAUACUGCCCAGACUCCUACGGGAGGCUGCAGUCGAGAAUUUUGGGCAAUGGACGAAAGUCUGACCCAGCAAUGCCGCGUGCGGGAUGAAGGUCUUCGGAUUGUAAACCGCUGUCAAGAGGGACGAAACAUGACGGUACCUCUGGAGGAAGCCACGGCUAACUACGUGCCAGCAGCCGCGGUAAUACGUAGGUGGCGAGCGUUGUUCGGAUUUAUUGGGCGUAAAGGGUCCGCAGGUGGUUGGAUAAGUUUGACGUGAAAUCCCAGAGCUCAACUCUGGAACUGCGUUGAAAACUGUCUGACUGGAGUAUCGGAGAGGAGAUUGGAAUUCCAGGUGUAGCGGUGGAAUGCGUAAAUAUCUGGAAGAACACCGAAAGCGAAAGGAGAUCUCUGGACGAUAACUGACACUCAAGGACGAAAGUAUGGGGAUCAAACAGGAUUAAAUACCCUGGUAGUCCCCU
RNAcentral lists this ribosomal RNA (769 nucleotides) under uncultured Lentisphaerota bacterium. RNAcentral describes it as "bacterial SSU rRNA". It matches the Rfam family "Bacterial small subunit ribosomal RNA", at positions 1 to 799 of the family's 1533-position model. Lineage: Bacteria; Pseudomonadati; Lentisphaerota. The record is from RNAcentral.